UUAUGUGAAUAAAUCAAAAAAGUGACUCCUUGAGAUAGAAUCUACUCCUGGUGAAGAUGCUGUCAA
Molecule: microRNA precursor, 66 nt
Filed under: Marmota monax (woodchuck)
Lineage: Eukaryota; Metazoa; Chordata; Mammalia; Rodentia; Sciuridae
Source: RNAcentral